GGGUCCGUAGCUCAGUUGGUAGAGCAGUUGCCUCUUAAGCAAUUGGUCGCGCGUUCGAAUCGCGCCGGGCCCACCA
RNAcentral lists this transfer RNA (76 nucleotides) under Candidatus Peregrinibacteria bacterium. Its description in RNAcentral is "tRNA-Lys". It matches the Rfam family "tRNA". Rfam says of the family: Transfer RNA (tRNA) molecules are approximately 80 nucleotides in length. Their secondary structure includes four short double-helical elements and three loops (D, anti-codon, and T loops). Further hydrogen bonds mediate the characteristic L-shaped molecular structure. tRNAs have two regions of fundamental functional importance: the anti-codon, which is responsible for specific mRNA codon recognition, and the 3' end, to which the tRNAs corresponding amino acid is attached (by aminoacyl-tRNA synthetases). tRNAs cope with the degeneracy of the genetic code in two manners: having more than one tRNA (with a specific anti-codon) for a particular amino acid; and 'wobble' base-pairing, i.e. permitting non-standard base-pairing at the 3rd anti-codon position. Lineage: Bacteria; Candidatus Peregrinibacteriota. RNAcentral also lists the same sequence under 1 other name. The record is from RNAcentral.